UGUACCUACCAUCAUUCCCUUGGAAAACUGAUGGCUAAAAUACUAUAAAAGAUAAGUAUGUUUAAGUAGUUAUAAGCAAAGUACAUAUGUAUAUAUAUGUAGAAUAAAUAUUGUAUUUUUCUGUUAGAAUUGAAAAUCUUAGGUUGUACUAGAGUCCUUCAAUUUUUAUGCUAAGUAUUGGUUGUAACCUGAAUAUGAUAGUAGUUAGCAUGAACGCUGAAAUCAUAGUUUUGCCAUUUGAAAUAUGACUGAGUGAGGUAAUAGUGUUCUUUGGUGAGCAUUUUGAGUUUUGUGCUUCACAUCUGUAAACUGAUAAAAUCCUAUUAUGCCUUCCAGCUGUGAUGCUUAUACCGUGGGCUGCAGAAUUAUAAGAUUAAACAUUCUACAUAAGCAUUAAGAAUCGUCUGCACCUCUGCAGGGCUAUCCUAAGUUGUUAUUAACUUCAGACAUCUUUUCUCACCCAAAGCAAGCUCACACAUCUUGGAAAGUGCUUGUCAUUUUCAUUUGUCUUAUUUUUACUGUCCACCUUCUUUGUACCUCUGUACCUCCCUAUGUGAAACUAUUUCUGGUUAUGGAUCCUCUUCUAGAAUUAGUUGAUUAAAUUAUAGACUCUUAUUCUGAAUUCCUUGACUACUGUCAAAACAUAUUUGUGUCAAGGUUUCAAUCCCUGUCAUCAUCUGAGAAGCCUUGAUUAGUUCACGUUGCAGACUUUCUGUUUAUAAUGAGAGCAUUUCUUAGCAUCUUGACCUUUCAGAUCAUUUAUAUCAAAACUAAUAUUCCAGGGCUUUAUGUUUUAAUGAAUAUACAGUUGUCAACACUUUUCAUCUUCUUUUUAUACUCUAAAUCAUGCUACUUUCAGUAAGCUAUUUCUUUCUAAUUAUUUUUUAUGUUCAGAUGGUAAAAAAUAAUGGAAUUACUUACAGUUUUAUUAUUGAUACAUAGGAUUUGGUUUGCAAAUGUAUAAUAUGCAAUGACA
This 976-nucleotide long non-coding RNA is filed under the name Homo sapiens (human). RNAcentral's name for it is "long non-coding RNA NONHSAT157807". Lineage: Eukaryota; Metazoa; Chordata; Mammalia; Primates; Hominidae. The record is from RNAcentral.